Molecule: long non-coding RNA, 558 nt
Filed under: Medicago truncatula (barrel medic)
Lineage: Eukaryota; Viridiplantae; Streptophyta; Magnoliopsida; Fabales; Fabaceae
Description: lncRNA gene40693
Source: RNAcentral
UGUUUACCUAAUUAGAAUAUCAAAUGUGCUUUGUGAUGCAUGUGACAUUGUUGUUAGCGAUAUAUCCUAUGAGGAAUCCAAGAUAUGAAUACUUCCAUACUAUGAUAAUACACUUUUGAACUCAUAAUAAAAAUUGAAUGGAUAGAGAAACAUAAAUCAAAUUUUGAAGUAAUUAUAAAAAUACUAUCAGUAUGGUCUACACAUAACAUUAUAUACUUUGAGGUAACAUAAUUACUUUUAAACUUAAUUGUUUUUAAACUUAUUUUUUCAAGUGUAACCAAAAACCCUUAGUUAUACAACUUAAGCUUACAAAAAUUAUUAAUGCACUUAUGAAUUAUGGGUAAAAUCUUUGGUGGACAAUCAGCAUCUGUAGCACAGGGAAUGCGAUCUGCAUUGUCAAAUAAGAAAAAUAAAUUUUUUAAUGAAAUGAGAUAUAAUAUAGUUUAUAAGAUAAAUUAGUAAAUGUUGGGAAAAAUUACAUACCACCAUUUAUUAGAAUAAAAAAUAGAGAAAGAAAUAAAAUCAAAGCAUAAACAAACUUCAGAAUUUGAGCCAUAA